CUACGAAGGUCCCAAGCGUUAUUCGGAAUCACUGGGCGUAAAGAGUACGUAGGCGGUUUGGUAAGUCAGGUGUGAAAUCCCGAAGCUCAACUUCGGAACUGCAUCCGAUACUGCCAGACUAGAGUAAUGGAGAGGCAGGUGGAAUUCUCGGUGUAGCAGUGAAAUGCGUGGAUAUCGAGAGGAAGACCAAUGGCGAAGGCAGCCUGCUGGACAUUUACUGACGCUGAGGUACGAAGGCUAGGGGAGCGAAAGGGAGUAGAUACCCUAGUAGUCC
RNAcentral lists this ribosomal RNA (274 nucleotides) under uncultured bacterium. RNAcentral describes it as "partial 16S ribosomal RNA". It matches the Rfam family "Bacterial small subunit ribosomal RNA", at positions 523 to 796 of the family's 1533-position model. The record is from RNAcentral.